CUUGGCCCUCCAUACCUGCUUUGUCCACUAGUGCAGGGGAAGCCAAGCCUGGUGGCCCUCCUGGGACUGGAGACACUUGCACAUUCUCAUAGGGGACCUCAAAGGAAGGUCUUUUCCCAGAGAAGAGAAGAAAGACAUCCCAGAGGAGGAAGGGUUGAGAGAUGAGAUGCAAGAGCUCAACCUGGCUUUGAAGGGAAGGAGCUUGAUGAGCCAACGAGUCUGGGCAGCUUCCAGACACCAGGAAACCAAGGAAAUGGCGUUCUUCUUGAGCACCUUCAAAUUAGCCAACCCUCCAGACGCCAGGUUGACUUUGAACUUGUCAUCCUCCUGACUUAAUGUUGGAGUGUGAUUUUUUUUUUUCAAGACA
Long non-coding RNA from Apodemus sylvaticus (European woodmouse), 367 nucleotides. RefSeq lists it as uncharacterized. The transcript has 2 exons. NCBI's taxonomy places the organism in Eukaryota, Metazoa, Chordata, Mammalia, Rodentia, Muridae. The record is from RefSeq and is a predicted model, not a curated record.